This is a non-coding RNA of Salvelinus sp. IW2-2015, 637 nucleotides long. Lineage: Eukaryota; Metazoa; Chordata; Actinopteri; Salmoniformes; Salmonidae. The record is from RefSeq and is a predicted model, not a curated record.
UCUCUCGCUCUCUUGUUCUGUCUUCUCCUCUCCAACCCACCCCCCUCCUCUCCCCCUCUUUUCUUCCAGGACAAGCUUGUAAACGUCAGAGCAGGGGUUAUUAACAGUGUCUGGUGAACCCAUGUCACCUGUCAUGAAGAGAGCAGAUAGAGCAUAGGGAACAGAGGGAGGCCGGCUCCGGUCAYGGCUCACAUUCUGCUACUUUAUUACCCUACAUUAGGAAUGUACUCUGGGGCCUUCUCACUGUUAUUGUUGGGGGACUGUGUCUGAAGAUCAUAAGAAGCAGCWCACAGUGAAUUAAUGUCUGCCCAAGCACUUAAAAACAGAUUUCUCUUUUUGGUGUAAGGUAUUUGAGUGUAUAGUCAGGGUGUUUGUGUGUGUGUGUGUGGGGGGAGAUGGGGGUGUAGGCCUAUACCGCUCCCUUACAAUCCUUGUAUGUUGCCAGUGACGUGUAACUAUGGGAACGGAGGCUGCCAGCACAUGUGUGACGAUACGGAUGUGGGGCCGGUUUGUGGCUGUCACCAGAAGUACGCCCUGCACUCAGACAGCAAGACCUGCAUCGAUCUGUGCUCUGUUGCACCCCGAAAAUGUCGCCCGGAGUUUCACGAUGACGAUGGUGAUUAUUUCCUGUCUGGGG